UACGAAGGGGGCUAGCGUUGUUCGGAGUUACUGGGCGUAAAGGGCGCGUAGGCGGCUGGUCAAGUCGGGUGUGAAAGCCCGGGGCUCAACCCCGGAAAUGCACUCGAGACUGAUCGGCUUGAGGACGGGAGAGGAUAGUGGAAUUCCCGGUGUAGAGGUGAAAUUCGUAGAUAUCGGGAGGAACACCGGUGGCGAAGGCGGCGAUCUGGGUCGAUACUGACGCUGAGGUGCGAAAGCGUGGGGAGCAAACAGG
Molecule: ribosomal RNA, 253 nt
Filed under: uncultured bacterium
Lineage: Bacteria
Description: partial 16S ribosomal RNA
Rfam family: Bacterial small subunit ribosomal RNA
Source: RNAcentral